UACGCAGGCGGAAAAUUAAGUCAGUGGUGAAAUCCUGCAGCUUAACUGUAGAACUGUCAUUGUUACUGGUUUUCUUGAAUAUAGUUGAGGUAGGCGGAAUGUGUAAUGUAGCGGUGAAAUGCUUAGAUAUUACACAGAACACCGAUUGCGAAGGCAGCUUACUAAGCUAUGAUUGACGCUGAGGUACGAAAGCGUGGGGAGCGAACAGGAUUAGAUACCCUGGUAGUCC
RNAcentral lists this ribosomal RNA (229 nucleotides) under uncultured bacterium. RNAcentral describes it as "partial 16S ribosomal RNA". It matches the Rfam family "Bacterial small subunit ribosomal RNA", at positions 568 to 796 of the family's 1533-position model. The record is from RNAcentral.